UACGGAGGGGGCUAGCGUUGUUCGGAAUUACUGGGCGUAAAGCGCACGUAGGCGGCGCGACAAGUUAGGCGUGAAAUGCCUGGGCUCAACCCAGGAACUGCGCUUAAGACUGUCGUGCUAGAGACCGGGAGAGGGUGGCGGAAUUCCCAGUGUAGAGGUGAAAUUCGUAGAUAUUGGGAAGAACACCGGUUGCGAAGGCGGCCACCUGGACCGGAACUGACGCUGAGGUGCGAAAGCGUGGGGAGCAAACAGG
Molecule: ribosomal RNA, 253 nt
Filed under: uncultured bacterium
Lineage: Bacteria
Also listed under: 1 other name
Description: partial 16S ribosomal RNA
Rfam family: Bacterial small subunit ribosomal RNA
Source: RNAcentral